This 253-nucleotide ribosomal RNA is filed under the name uncultured bacterium. RNAcentral describes it as "partial 16S ribosomal RNA". It matches the Rfam family "Bacterial small subunit ribosomal RNA", at positions 524 to 776 of the family's 1533-position model. The record is from RNAcentral.
UACGUAGGGUGCGAGCGUUAAUCGGAAUUACUGGGCGUAAAGCGUGCGCAGGCGGCGCGUUAAGACAGGUGUGAAAGCCCCGAGCUUAACCUGGGAAUUGCGCUUGUGACUGGCGAGCUGGAGUGUGGCAGAGGGAGGUGGAAUUCCACGUGUAGCAGUGAAAUGCGUAGAGAUGUGGAGGAACACCGAUGGCGAAGGCAGCCUCCUGGGCCAGCACUGACGCUCAUGCACGAAAGCGUGGGGAGCAAACAGG